UACGAAGGUGGCAAGCGUUACUCGGAAUUACUAGGCGUAAAGCGCAGGUAGGUGGUUGUGUAAGUCUGCUGUGAAAGCUCCCGGCUUAACUGGGAGAGGUCAGCGGAUACUGCAUAGCUAGAGUGUGGGAGAGGGUACUGGAAUUCCCGGUGUAGCGGUGAAAUGCGCAGAGAUCGGGAGGAACACCUAAGGCGAAAGCAGGUACCUGGACCAUUACUGACACUAAGCUGCGAAAGCUAGGGGAGCAAACAGG
This 253-nucleotide ribosomal RNA is filed under the name uncultured bacterium. Its description in RNAcentral is "partial 16S ribosomal RNA". It matches the Rfam family "Bacterial small subunit ribosomal RNA", at positions 524 to 776 of the family's 1533-position model. The record is from RNAcentral.